RNAcentral lists this ribosomal RNA (255 nucleotides) under uncultured bacterium. RNAcentral's name for it is "partial 16S ribosomal RNA". It matches the Rfam family "Bacterial small subunit ribosomal RNA", at positions 15 to 253 of the family's 1533-position model. The record is from RNAcentral.
GAUCCUGGCUCAGGAUGAACGCUGGCGGCGUGCUUAACACAUGCAAGUCGAACGGGAAACCUUUUAAUGAAGCUUCGGCAGAUUUAGCUGGUUUCUAGUGGCGGACGGGUGAGUAACGCGUGGGUAACCUGCCUUAUACAGGGGGAUAACAGUCAGAAAUGACUGCUAAUACCGCAUAAGCGCACAGGGCCGCAUGGUCCGGUGUGAAAAACUCCGGUGGUAUAAGAUGGACCCGCGUUGGAUUAGCUUGUUGGG